AGAGUUUGAUCAUGGCUCAGAAUGAACGCUGGCGGCGUGCUUAACACAUGCAAGUCGAACGAGAAAACCUCUUCGGAGGUGAGUAAAGUGGCGAACGGGUGAGUAACACGUAGGAAUCUACCUUUCAGUGAAGAAUACCCUCGAGAAAUCGAGGUUAAUACUGCAUAAGUCCCUUCGGGGAGAAAGACGGCCUCUUGCUGUCGCUGAGAGAUGAGCCUGCGGACUAUUAGCUUGUUGGUAGGGUAAAAGCCUACCAAGGCUGUGAUGGUUAUCCGGCCUGAGAGGGUGUACGGACUCACUGGGACUGAGAUACGGCCCAGACUCCUACGGGAGGCAGCAGUGGGGAAUCUUGCACAAUGGGCGCAAGCCUGAUGCAGCGACGCCGCGUGGAGGAUGAAUGUCUUCGGAUUGUAAACUCCUGUUAAGUGGGAAGAAAUACCUGUAAAUAAUACGUACAGGGGAUGACGGUACCACUAGAGAAAGCUCCGGCUAACUUCGUGCCAGCAGCCGCGGUAAUACGAAGGGAGCAAGCGUUAUUCGGAAUUACUGGGCGUAAAGAGCGCGUAGGCGGUUAAUUAAGUCAGUUGUCAAAUCCCUUAGCUUAACUAAGGACCGGCAAUUGAUACUGGUUGACUAGAGGACAAGAGAGAGAAGUGGAAUUCUCGGAGUAGCGGUAAAAUGCAUAGAUCUCGAGAGGAACACCAGUUGCGAAGGCGGCUUCUUGGCUUGUAUCUGACGCUAAAGCGCGAAAGCGUGGGGAGCAAACAGGAUUAGAUACCCUGGUAGUCCACGCCGUAAACGAUGAUCACUAGAUGUGGGUUCUGUUUAACAGGAUCUGUGUCGUAGCUAACGCGUUAAGUGAUCCGCCUGGGGAGUACGGUCGCAAGACUA
Molecule: ribosomal RNA, 891 nt
Filed under: uncultured bacterium
Lineage: Bacteria
Description: bacterial SSU rRNA
Rfam family: Bacterial small subunit ribosomal RNA
Source: RNAcentral